RNAcentral lists this ribosomal RNA (292 nucleotides) under Fallicambarus dissitus. RNAcentral describes it as "partial 12S ribosomal RNA". The record is from RNAcentral. Lineage: Eukaryota; Metazoa; Arthropoda; Malacostraca; Decapoda; Cambaridae.
GGCGGUGUUUUAGUCUAGUUAGAGGAACCUGUAUUAUAAACGACAUAACACGCAUUAUUUUACUUAUUUUGGUAAACAGUUUGUAUACCGUCAUUAUUAGAUAAUUUAUGAGAAAAUAUUAUUGGGAUCAUAUUAUUGAGUAUAUUAGAUCAAGGUGCAGCUUAUAAAUAAGUAGAUAUGGGUUACAAUAAAAUUUAUUUAAUAUGGAUUUAAUAUUUAAAUAUGUUUAUGAAGGAGGAUUUAAUUGUAAGGAAAGGAGUAGUAAGAUUUUCUGAUAAAAGCUCUAAAUUAU